CAGUAGCCGCGGGAACACCAGCAGUCCAAGUGGUGGUCGCGAUUAUUGGGCCUAAAGCGCUCGUAGCCGGGCCGGUAAGUCCCUUGUGAAAUCGGACGGCCUAACCGUUCGGCGUGCAAGGGAUACUGUCGGUCUUGAGGCCGGGAGACGUCCGAGGUACUCCGGGGGUAGCGGUGAAAUGUUCUGAUCCUCGGGGGACCACCGGUGGCGAAGGCGUUCGACGAGAACGGGCCUGACGGUGAGGGGCGAAGGCUAGGGGAGCAAACAGGAUUAGAUACCCCCGUAGUCCCUGUCUCUUAUA
RNAcentral lists this ribosomal RNA (301 nucleotides) under uncultured bacterium. Its description in RNAcentral is "partial 16S ribosomal RNA". It matches the Rfam family "Archaeal small subunit ribosomal RNA", at positions 459 to 759 of the family's 1478-position model. The record is from RNAcentral.